RNAcentral lists this ribosomal RNA (448 nucleotides) under uncultured Caldalkalibacillus sp. RNAcentral describes it as "bacterial SSU rRNA". It matches the Rfam family "Bacterial small subunit ribosomal RNA", at positions 933 to 1382 of the family's 1533-position model. Lineage: Bacteria; Bacillati; Bacillota; Bacilli; Caryophanales; Bacillaceae. The record is from RNAcentral.
UGGAGCAUGUGGUUUAAUUCGAAGCAACGCGAAGAACCUUACCAGGUCUUGACAUCCCGAUGCUAUUCUAGAGAUAGAAAGUUACUUCGGUACAUCGGUGACAGGUGGUGCAUGGUUGUCGUCAGCUCGUGUCGUGAGAUGUUGGGUUAAGUCCCGCAACGAGCGCAACCCCUAUCGUUAGUUGCCAUCAUUCAGUUGGGCACUCUAGCGAGACUCGGCCGGUAAAUAACCGGAGGAAGUGGGGAUGACGUCAAAUCAUCAUGCCCCUUAUGACCUGGGCUACACACGUGCUACAAUGGUUGGUACAAAGGGUCGCGAACCCGCGAGGGGGAGCCAAUCCCAAAAAGCCGCUCUCAGUUCGGAUUGCAGGCUGCAACUCGCCUGCAUGAAGCCGGAAUCGCUAGUAAUCGCGGAUCAGCAUGCCGCAGUGAAUACGUUCCCGGGCCUU